GGUGACCUGCGGAAGGAUCAUUACAGAGUUCCUGCCCUCACGGGUAGAAACCCCACCCUUGUGUAUAUUAUUAUGUUGCUUUGGCAGCCCGUCUUUCUAGGCGGAGGCUCACGCCCCCAGCGGCUGCCAGAGGACCCUAAACUUUGAAAUACAGUGUCGUCUGAGUACUAUUUAAUAGUUAAAACUUUCAACAACGGAUCUCUUGGUUCUGGCAUCGAUGAAGAACGCAGCGAAAUGCGAUAAGUAAUGUGAAUUGCAGAAUUCAGUGAAUCAUCGAAUCUUUGAACGCACAUUGCGCCCCUUGGUAUUCCGAGGGGCAUGCCUGUUCGAGCGUCAUUUUGACCAACUCCUCUUUAUAGAGGGUCUUGGGCUUCGCCUCUGGGCGGGCCUCAAAAUCAGUGGCGGUGCUGUUAGGCUCUACGCGUAGUAAUACUCCUCGCGACAGACCCCUAAUGGUUACUUGCCAGCAACCCCCAACUUCUUAAGGUUGACCUCGGAUCAGGUAGGGAUACCCGCUGAACUUAAGCAUAUCAAUAAGCGGAGGAAAAGAAACCAACAGGGAUUACCUCAGUAACGGCGAGUGAAGCGGUAACAGCUCAAAUUUGAAAUCUGGCUCUUUCAGGGUCCGAGUUGUAAUUUGUAGAAGAUGCUUUGGGUGUGGCUCCGGUCUAAGUUCCUUGGAACAGGACGUCAUAGAGGGUGAGAAUCCCGUAUGUGACUGGUUGCCUUCGCCUAUGUAAAGCUCUUUCGACGAGUCGAGUUGUUUGGGAAUGCAGCUCUAAAUGGGAGGUAUAUUUCUUCUAAAGCU
Molecule: ribosomal RNA, 808 nt
Filed under: fungal sp.
Lineage: Eukaryota; Fungi
Description: eukaryotic LSU rRNA
Rfam family: Eukaryotic large subunit ribosomal RNA (bases 489-808)
Source: RNAcentral